AUGAACGCUGGCGGCGUGCCUAAUACAUGCAAGUCGAGCGAACAGACGAGGAGCUUGCUCCUCUGACGUUAGCGGCGGACGGGUGAGUAACACGUGGUUAACCUACCUAUAAGACUGGGAUAACUUCGGGAAACCGGAGCUAAUACCGGAUAAUAUAUUGAACCGCAUGGUUCAAUAGUGAAAGACGGUUUUGCUGUCACUUAUAGAUGGAUCCGCGCCGCAUUAGCUAGUUGGUAAGGUAACGGCUUACCAAGGCGACGAUGCGUAGCCGACCUGAGAGGGUGAUCGGCCACACUGGAACUGAGACACGGUCCAGACUCCUACGGGAGGCAGCAGUAGGGAAUCUUCCGCAAUGGGCGAAAGCCUGACGGAGCAACGCCGCGUGAGUGAUGAAGGUCUUCGGAUCGUAAAACUCUGUUAUUAGGGAAGAACAAAUGUGUAAGUAACUAUGCACGUCUUGACGGUACCUAAUCAGAAAGCCACGGCUAACUACGUG
Molecule: ribosomal RNA, 496 nt
Filed under: uncultured bacterium
Lineage: Bacteria
Description: partial 16S ribosomal RNA
Rfam family: Bacterial small subunit ribosomal RNA
Source: RNAcentral